UCAGUUCUAAACUCGGGGUUAGACGUGGGAGAGGAAGAGUGUUUGUUUGAACUCGCACGUUGAGGUUACGUCGAGAACGGACCUGCUCGAUGAGCGAGCCGAGAACUGAUUCUAACCCGUAAUCAUCGAGCGCCGAUGGUCGCAAAUCUGUCAUCACAUGGCGUACCAAAUCAAUAACCUGGGCUGAGAGAUUUAUCGAGUCGGUCAAUCGCGCGGCGGUUUCCUGUUGAGGAGCGGCCAAAAGCUCCUCGCUCAUGAUAACCAGGUUCGUUUUCAAAGCCGCCAGACUUUGACUAACUCCGUCAUGCAGUUCACGGGCGACAAUACGCCGUUCUGAGUCCUGU
This 344-nucleotide unclassified non-coding RNA is filed under the name soil metagenome. Its description in RNAcentral is "partial internal transcribed spacer 1". The record is from RNAcentral.